Molecule: ribosomal RNA, 255 nt
Filed under: uncultured bacterium
Lineage: Bacteria
Description: partial 16S ribosomal RNA
Rfam family: Bacterial small subunit ribosomal RNA
Source: RNAcentral
CGGACGGGUGAGUAACGCGUGGGUAACCUGCCCUGUACAGGGGGACAACAGUUAGAAAUGACUGCUAAUACCGCAUAAGCGCACAGGACCGCAUGGUCCGGUGUGAAAAACUCUGGUGGUAUACGAUGGUUCCGCGUCUGAUUAGCUUGUUGGUGGGGUAAUGGCUCACCAAGGCGACGAUCAGUAGCCGGCCUGAGAGGGUGAACGGCCACAUUGGGACUGAGACACGGCCCAAACUCCUACGGAAGGCAGCAG